GAAUCAACGCAAAUCAAUGCAAAAAUAACCUAACAAUACCCCCACACCUAUGACAAACAUUGUCCUCAAUGUGUAAGCAUAUAUAUAAAAAAUUAAGAAGAAAAGGGAAAAAGACUUCCUGGCCUGUGGGUGAUUUGGCCAGUGAUUUGGGCAAAUCACUGGUCAAAUCACUGUCUGUCACGGUGCUGGGCAGAAAAUGGUCUACCAAUAGGUCCAGCAGGUGCUCCAUGUGCUGCAUCCUGUCUCUGAUUCUGGUGAGAUGAGCCUCCACCGAAUGGUCUUGAGGUGCCUUUUAUGUCCUCCAAG
Molecule: long non-coding RNA, 306 nt
Filed under: Manihot esculenta (cassava)
Lineage: Eukaryota; Viridiplantae; Streptophyta; Magnoliopsida; Malpighiales; Euphorbiaceae
Description: long non-coding RNA (MESC_LNC000222)
Source: RNAcentral